RNAcentral lists this long non-coding RNA (2694 nucleotides) under Homo sapiens (human). RNAcentral describes it as "HSALNT0019225". The record is from RNAcentral. Lineage: Eukaryota; Metazoa; Chordata; Mammalia; Primates; Hominidae.
GAAAAGGUGGGGGUUUGCAAAGGGAGUAACUUCUGGUUCCUUUGUUACUUAGGUAUGGAAAGUUAGGGUUUUCCUUUCACUUUAGUUCUAGGAAGUCAGCGUGAAACGCCUGAAGUUUUCUGCCUCCAGACUCUACUCUCCUGCCUCAAUUCUACUCUCUACUUUUAUAAGCUCGACUCACAUGACGAAAGCCCUCAUCAGAUGCUUACAUCAUGAUCUUGGACUUCCCAGCCUCCAGACUGAUGCUAUGGAAGAUCAGAAAAUAUAAAUUUAUGAACUGCUAUAAACUGUUAUUUUCUUCGUGAAGAUCAGCCUCCAGGUUCAUCACAUGACUCAGCUAAGAGAAAAUAUCCAGUGGCUCAUCGUUACCUGUGGGAGGAGCACAACAAGAUGUUCCAGACUUAUUCAACAUAUUGUCCAGCCAGUCCUGGAAACAAUCAGUUCCCUGAGGACAGAAUUAAAGUUUAGAGACCUGAAUCUGGGCCCCAGGGGUGGUCAUUACUACUGGUUUGCCACUGCUUCUGUAGCUUUUCAGUGAAGAGGUAGUUAUGUAAUAUGUAUCUAAAAAAAUAAAUUCAAGUUAUGUAUUUUAAAAAUAAAUUCAAGGUCUAUAUAUUUUAGAAAAAGGAAAAAUCAUGUGUUCAUGUUAAUAUUUAUAUUUAAAUAUAUAAUUACAUGUCUUAAUUUAUGUUGUUCUACCUUGAUAAUUCUAUACCUCUAUUAUUUUGCUUUUAUACCUUUUCUCCCCAAAUUUUCUUAAAUUGAAACUCUUGGUUCCUAAUUACAUGUACAUACUUAUUUAUCUUAUACCAUAUACAUAUAGUAAUUUCAAAAUAACAAUACAAACAUUAUUAUCAUUAACAAUAAUGCUGCCGAAUAAAGCUUGUGAUUUCUUUGUGGAGAUUUUCAUACUUGGGAUAUAUCUCACUAGUGAUACUAAAAAAAACCUGCGUUUUAAAGUCACUCGAAAUAAUUUUUCCCUGUGUGGUUUUGUCAACAAUUUGAUAUGCAGUUAGAUCCCUUUACUUCAAAAAAUUUUGAGUAACUGCUUAGCUUUUAUUUUUGAAAUAAUCACAGUUUUUGAUUACAUAGAUAGAGCAUAAAGCAUUUACAGGGUUCCAAAGUGUGUGUGUAUGUGUACAUAUGUAUACAAAUAUGUAUACAUGUCUAUGUAAAUACACAUACACACACACACACACACACACACACACACACACACAUAUUCAGAGACAUCCAUCUUCUGUCCCUGUGUCUUUUGCCAUAAGUAACCAUCCUAAUAAUUUUUAUUUUAUCAUUCUAUGGUUUCAAAAUAAAAGCAAAUUUAUAGUUAUAGUCUUUAUUUGAAAGUAUUUCUUUAAAUUCAAAAAUCAGAAAAACUUUCAAACAUUGUCUUAUUUUGCUUGACCUGGACUUGUAAUUAGAUGACUAUAUCAGAUAGAAGAUUGCUUCAUUUUGCAGUAUUUUAGAGCCAGAGAGUAGGACAACUUUUAAUCAGAGACAGCAAGUACUAUAAAUCCUGAAGGAAAUGUAAGCGGCAUCUUAUAAAUGGAAUAUCAACUCAUAUUCAUAUAGUGAUUUUCAUUUUACACAGUAAUUUCACUAUGCAUUUAUUAAUUUAAUUUUCACAAUAGCCUUAUAAGUUUAUCUCCAUUUUACAAAUUUAAAAAUGAGACAUGGGAUAAAAAUGACUUUCCCCAGGCCUUCCCAAGUUCACACAGCUAAUUCUUGACAGAGGUAAGAGAAGAAUUCAGGUCUUCUGCCUCUAACUCUGCAUCAUAUGAUACUGCAUCUCAAAUUACUUGCAAAUACAUAUGGAACUCCUGUGUGUCUUAAACCAUAUUUUCUGUAGUUGCCAUAAGUUACUCCAAAUGAGUGUUAGAAUUAUAAAAUUCUCUAUUCCCUUUUAGGAGAGUCAUGAUACAAAUUGACAUUAAUUAGUCUCUAAAACUUUAUGUAUUAUUGGAAUAUGUUUAAUUUUGUAUUUCUUAAUGCUUCCCAAUUUUACAAGACCACAGAACAUCCCUCUACCUACUCCCGCCAAAUCUGGACUAAACCUGAAAAGAUAUCAAAGGAACAUAGCUUUUUAUUAAGUGUGAGUUAAUCCAUGAACGAUAGCUUCAAUCAGCAGUAAUUUUCUUAACAUAAUUCAUGCCUGAGGAUUAUAUUCAGUUUAGCUGGACAUCUAUGGCACACCAUAAGCCAAAUUUUGAAGAUUAUUCAUGUUAGAAUUGGAUUCAGUCGAUCCUUAGUGACUUAACAAUCAGGCCUUAAUUGAAACACACACACACAUUGUUAUUGACAGUGUAGAAAUACUGACUCAUAGAAAAAUUCACCCAUAUUUAGUUAGCAGACUAACAGGAACAGCAGCAGCAGCAGCAGCUGGUCAUGCUUCUGUGUGUUGCUAGCAACAAGAAACCAUGACAGCAAGGCCCCAAACAGGAACCUCCUGCAUUUUCUCAUCUGUGAUGAGGCACACUGAUGCUGGGGAUUAAUGAGCCUGAAGAUAUAAAGCAGUGUUUACCACUGGAAAAUGUCUCCUACACUAAAAGCAGAGGCACAUGCCACUGGCCCUCCAUGACACCUGCUCACCAGACACUGUCCUUCCACUUCAGAAGGAUACCGGAUCCUCAUCAGGCCGUCUGACUUCUUACCUUGGGAAUGAGAACCUUGACAGAGGAAGCCUCAGAACUGAAG